AUGACUCAUCUUCUGCAACUGAAACAACAGGGCACAGUGACUGAAUACAAGUCUGCAUUUGAGACUGCAAUGUACCAUUUGAUAGCAUUAGAUCCUUCCUUGAACUCAAAGUUUUUCAUAUCUCAGUUUGUGUUGGGAUUGAAGGAUGAAAUCCGUGCUGCAGUCAGGUUACAGGCACCCACUAGUGUCACAAGGGCAGUAUGCUUAGCUAAGAUCCAAGAGGAAGAAUUGGAGUUACAAAAGACUAAACCACGGUUUCCACGUCACAUGCAACACCAGUCAGUUCCGACUACAAUUCAGCCUAUGCAACAAGGCAACAAGAAAGCAGUGGAUGAUUUUGGUAGGGAGCGUCAGCUGAGAGACUUUAGGCGUGCUAAUGGAUUAUGCUAUCGAUGUGGAGAUAAGUAUAGUAAGGAACAUCAGUGCAAGAAGCCAUUGAAACUGCUGACUAUCCAGUUGGGAGAGCAUGGUGAAAUUUUAACUGGAGAUGCAGUGCAAGCUUUGGAAUUACUAACUGAACCCACCACAGCUGAGUGCUGUCAGAUUUCAGCCCAUGCUGUUUCAGGAGCCGACAAUACAGAAACCAUUCGCAUAAGAGCAUUGGUGGGCAACCAAGUCAUGUUAGCACUAGUGGACUCGGGCAGUAGUCACAGUUUCGUGGAUGAAAAUUUUGCCAAGCGUGCUUCGUUGGAUUUGGUCUCUGUUCCAGCAGUGAAAGUUACAGUUGCAAAUGGUCAAUCUAUGGAAUCCAAAUUUCAAACCCCUAAUCUGACUUGGUGGGCGCAGGGUCACACUUUUGUGACACCAAUGAGAGUGCUACAACUGGGGGCCUAUGAUGUAGUGCUGGGAAUGGACUGGCUUAAGUGUCACAGUCCGAUGGUUUGCGAUUGGGAGGGCAAAUCAUUACAAUUUGUACAUGGUGAUACUACCAUAUCCCUUCAAGGUGUUCAGCCUGUGUCUACUAUGCAAUUGCAAGCUAUGUCAGUAGAGCAAUUGGACAAAGCUCUGCAUGGCAAUGAUAUUUGGGCUAUGGCCGUGGUUGAUCCUUCUUCAAGUGAUGUUGUUUCGACGCUUGGCUCAUAUCUGGAAGAUCUUAUUGCAGUUUUAACAGACUUCCAGGAUGUGUUUGAAACUUCAACUGGCCUGCCCCCACAUAGAGUGUAUGAUCAUGCAAUCACCUUGGAAGUGGGUCAUAACCCUCCUAACUCUCGCCCUUAG
This 1218-nucleotide ribosomal RNA is filed under the name Triticum aestivum (bread wheat). Its description in RNAcentral is "partial small subunit ribosomal RNA". Lineage: Eukaryota; Viridiplantae; Streptophyta; Magnoliopsida; Poales; Poaceae. The record is from RNAcentral.